CAGUACAUUACUCCACUCAGCACAGAUAUUAAAUACGUUUAGAAUGGAGGGAAAAGCUGUAUUGGUUUUUCUUGGAUUUGUUUCCUGUGUUUUUGCAGUAUAUCCAAUGAAGAAAAAAUGUGAUCAACAAUGCUUUUCUGACAGGAAUUGUGAACCAGGAUACUACUGUAAAACUGUAGGAUGUAAUAGCAUUUGCAGACGUGUCGAAGCCCUUUCACCAGUUGACCGUGUACCAAUAGAUACAAUAAUUCCUGGUAAUACACUCUCAUCAGGAUGCUUAAGAAGUUGUAGAUUGCAAGGUAGACAAGACUGUAGAAGAUUUUGCCAGAGAAUGGUUGACAAUUCACCAUUAGACCACAUUCUGCCAGGCGGUUCAGUAGAUCGUAUUAUCUCAGGCGGUGGAGUAGAUAGUAUUAUUCGAAGAGGCUCAGUAGAUCGUAUUAUUCCAGGCGGUUCAGUACAUGAUAUUAUUCCAGGCGGUUCAGUAGACCGUAUUAUUCGAGGAGAUUCAAUUGAUCGUAUUAUUCCCGGGGGUUCAGUACGUCGUAUUAUUCCAAGCGGUUCAGUAGACCGUAUUUUGCCUGUCGGUUCAAUUGAUGCGAUUCACCCAAAAGGCUGUGUUGACAGGUGUUUUUCAAGGAAUCAAUGCAACUUCAAUGAGGAUUGUAAAAACAGAAACGGAUGCAAUGAAUGUGUUCGCGUAAAAAACUACACAUAAUGUGGACAUCAUGGAAGGUCAGAAAAUCGUUCAAUGUUAUUCUAACUUUAUCCAUAUUAUGAUAUUAUGAUAUUUUUUUCUAUUUGUA
Long non-coding RNA from Mytilus californianus (California mussel), 806 nucleotides. RefSeq lists it as uncharacterized. Lineage: Eukaryota; Metazoa; Mollusca; Bivalvia; Mytilida; Mytilidae. The record is from RefSeq and is a predicted model, not a curated record. The transcript has 3 exons.